RNAcentral lists this ribosomal RNA (443 nucleotides) under uncultured bacterium. RNAcentral's name for it is "partial 16S ribosomal RNA". It matches the Rfam family "Bacterial small subunit ribosomal RNA", at positions 338 to 795 of the family's 1533-position model. The record is from RNAcentral.
CCUACGGGUGGCAGCAGUGGGGGAUAUUGGACAAUGGGGGGAACCCUGAUCCAGCGACGCCGCGUGAGUGAAGAAGUAUUUCGGUAUGUAAAGCUCUGUCAGCAGGGAAGAAAGAAAUGACGGUACCUGACCAAGAAGCCCCGGCUAACUACGUGCCAGCAGCCGCGGUAAUACGUAGGGGGCAAGCGUUAUCCGGAAUUACUGGGUGUAAAGGGAGCGUAGACGGUUAAGUAAGUCUGGAGUGAAAGGCCGGGGCCCAACCCCGGGACUGCUCUGGAAACUAUUGAACUUGAGUGCAGGAGAGGUAAGCGGAAUUCCUAGUGUAGCGGUGAAAUGCGUAGAUAUUAGGAGGAACUCCGAUCGCGAAGGCAAGUGUCCGGGGUGCAACUGACGCUGAGGCUCGAAAGUGCGGGUAUCAAACAGGAUUAGAUAGCCGGGUAGUC